GCAACUCGCCUGCAUGAAGUCGGAAUUGCUAGUAAUCGCGGAUCAGCAUGCCGCGGUGAAUACGUUCUCGGGCCUUGUACACACCGCCCGUCACACCAUGGGAGUCGGUAACACCCGAAGUCUGUAGCCUGACGCAAGAGGGCGCAGCCGAAGGUGGGAUUGAUGACUGGGGUGAAGUCGUAACAAGGUACC
RNAcentral lists this ribosomal RNA (192 nucleotides) under uncultured bacterium. RNAcentral's name for it is "partial 16S ribosomal RNA". It matches the Rfam family "Bacterial small subunit ribosomal RNA", at positions 1307 to 1500 of the family's 1533-position model. The record is from RNAcentral.